Molecule: long non-coding RNA, 439 nt
Organism: Panthera uncia (snow leopard)
Lineage: Eukaryota; Metazoa; Chordata; Mammalia; Carnivora; Felidae
Exons: 2
Source: RefSeq, a predicted model, not a curated record
UCUGGGGGGAGCUGGCUGCCAUGUUUGAAAGCACUCGGGCAGCCCCAGGAAGGGGUCCGCGUGGUGGAAAACUGAAGCAUGUGACUGCAGCCCCAGCCGACACGUAGAUUGGCGCCUUCUUAUGAAGGACCUUGAACCAAAGGCACCCAGAUGAGCUGCUCCCACAUUCCUGACCCACAAAAACUGUAUCCGAGAAUUCCAACGAAUCCCAAGCAGGAUAAAUGUAAAGACAGUUUCACAGUGGCACAUGAGAAGCCAACUGGUGAUGAGGAGAAAAUCUUAAAAGCAUCUAGAGAAGAAGACACAUGGUAUAUGGGGGAACAAAGUUAAGAACAACAUUUUUCAUUAUGAUCCAGUAUAUAGUACAUCUUGAUGAAAAUGUAAAAGUGUGUAUUCUGUCUUUGGGGGUGUAGACUUCAAUAAAUAUCACUUCAGUCAA